GUGACGAAGGCCAGUGCUAUAGACGUUUCAUACCUGCUGCAAGGGAGAAAGGGAACUGUUCUGCAGAAAUGUACAUCCCUGGCAAACAAGAUGGUGACUCCUGCUGAAGAGCAUGCUGCUGCGAGUGAUAAAGUUGCCGUUACCCAGUCACCAACCACGAACAAGCUGACUAAUACAGGACUAUGGAGAUCUCUCUUUAUCCUCAGAGCAUACAGAUCAAGACAUGCAAGUCCCAGGCUCCACAUCACUUGCAAUCCCAUUGAUGCAAUCAAGUAGCAGAAGGCAGUGUAAUUUGAAAACCCUAGCGCCGACACCAUGACCCCGAUCGAAGCCCCCGCGAAGACACACUGCCCCGUCCUCAGCAGCAACCCGCCGAGCGUGCCGGGGCUCCCCGCCACCACCUUCA
RNAcentral lists this unclassified non-coding RNA (406 nucleotides) under Hevea brasiliensis (rubber tree). Lineage: Eukaryota; Viridiplantae; Streptophyta; Magnoliopsida; Malpighiales; Euphorbiaceae. The record is from RNAcentral.